RNAcentral lists this ribosomal RNA (253 nucleotides) under uncultured bacterium. RNAcentral's name for it is "partial 16S ribosomal RNA". It matches the Rfam family "Bacterial small subunit ribosomal RNA", at positions 524 to 776 of the family's 1533-position model. The record is from RNAcentral.
UACGAGGGGGGCAAAUGUUGUUCGGAAUCACUGGGCGUAGAGGGAGCGUAGGCGGGUUUCUAAGUCAGGUGUUUAAUCCCGGGGCCCAACCCCGGACAGGCACUUGAAACUGGGAAUCUUGAAUAGGGGAGAGGUCAGUGGAAUUGGAGGUGUAGCGGUGGAAUGCGUAGAGAUCUCCAAGAACACCAGUUGCGAAGGCGGCUGACUGGACCCAUAUUGACGCUGAGGCUCGAAAGCAUGGGGAGCAAACAGG